Chrysemys picta bellii (western painted turtle) is the source of this 5327-nucleotide non-coding RNA. The record is from RefSeq and is a predicted model, not a curated record. Lineage: Eukaryota; Metazoa; Chordata; Testudines; Emydidae.
GGGCCCGCCCCCAGGGCGGCAGCCCCCCCGCCGGCCCGGUCACUGGGCGGCCCGCUGCUGACGUGGGGAGACGUGGGCGCAGUCACGGGCUGAAGCCGCGUUCUCUGCCGGCGCGCGGAGCCGCCCAGUCCCGGGAACCAAGUGCCCCCUCCAGCCGGGGCAUAAAUAACGCACGAGCAAGUCCAGUCCGUCGGAGCUGCCCGGGUCACGCAGCGGCUGGUCCAGGGCCGCGUGACCCAGCUCGGCGCUAAGGCCAUUUCAAACGGAAAACCUUUAUUAGCCCACUGCUAUUUCCACCUGUCACCCCGCCCCGUGCCCGCGCGCCUGGACAGCCCAGUCCCUAACGAGUGACGGGAGCGAACCUCACAGACGUUUAACACUGAAAUAGGUUUACAUUUGAGCUACAGCCUUUGUUUCAUGUAACCAGCUCACAGGCCUGCUGUUAAUAGGGACAAAACAGCUGCCUAAUUCCCCUAACUUGGGAGAAAAUUCCUCCUUGAAACAUAUUUCUUCACUAUCACCUUCAAAUAAUCAUCCUCCACUGCGAAGUACCUGGGGUAUAUGGAGGGGAGAACAUCCACUGGCAGUUGAGCUAGUAGACUGGGUCUGGGCAGUGUUGUCUGUCCACUUUAGCUUAUGACCACCUAAGGUAGGACGCUUUAUGCCUAGCUAUACUGUACUGAACACACUGACAGGGGUCAGCUAAGACUGGAUUUAUUCUGUUCCUGUGACAUUCCCUUCCAUUGCGGCCAUCUAGGUUCUGCUCCAGCAUAUGCAUCCUGAUGUGACACUACCCCUCAACGCAAAACCCACAGAUGGCAAGCAAGAACAGGAUGAGUAAUUGGAAAGUGACACCAGCGAGAGAAUGGACCCAGCGCAGAUAAACCCCAAAGGAAAGGAAAGAUCAUUACUUGACCAGGUGAAAGAUGAGUCGCUCCAGGGUGUUGUGAUUGGCUUGUGGGAGUUGUUCAAGGACACUGUAAAUGGCAACAAGUUGCUCCUGCUUUUCUGGUAACUCUGCAUAAGAAGAGACGAGCACAGCAAGAUCUCAGGACACUCAGGAGCUCACAGCAGUUCUAAAGCACCAGCAAUUAAUGCCAGAAUACGUGAAUGCUCUUGGAGGUGUUUGGGGAUCUUAAGCUAAAACCAUCUCUGAACCUCUUGUGUUGCUUAAUACUUCAGAAGCCUUGGCUGUCACUUCAUUUACUCACUCGAUUAUAGUGACUGACAACAGCACACACCAGAUGGUAUUAGUUUCCCCCCCUUUUCACAUGUUUGUAACAGCAUGGCAAGGACAGAGUGACAAAUGCAAGGAAUGUCAGACUCCAGGUCUGUUCACAUAUUUUGCACUUAAUAUACUAACAUUCCCCCCCCCAAGAAAGGGGAGUGUCAUUAUAGAUGCUGCUAUUCUGAAAAGUGAGACAGGAAUCUUGACAUCAGAAAGCCAAAAAAUGGAUUUUCCCCCAGGAAUUUCUGUUUCCUAGGACAAAUUUUAGAGUGACUGCUGUAGAGAUGACUAGGAAGAGGCCAUAUAACACACAGAGUUAGUGCCGGGGCACUAAAUCCUUCUCCAAGACAGAGAACAAGUGAAAACAUUCCUGUUGCUCUAGAAAUUGUUGACAAAACCCACCUACUGCUCGGAGAAAGUCACUGUACUGUGCAAAAGUCAUGAGUGGGUCAGGUAACUCUCGCAGCCAUUGCUUCAGGAUGCCAGUGAUGGUGUGAAUGGGAUAAUUCUCUAGUUUCACUGAAUUUGGAUCUGAAAAGAGAGUUACUAGAUUUAGCCCAUUUGAUUCCUUUGAUGCACACAAUCAGUUCCCAAAGAAGGGAGCCUACAAAGAAUUCAAGCACUAGCCUAUCUACUCCCCUGGAGCCCAUUUGACUACUCAAAAUGUGCCUGCAAGAUAUACAUUUAUGAGCAUGAACAGAUUAGCAAGCUAAUCAGUAAUACAGGCUCCAUAUUGCACAUGUUAGUGCAGAGCAGUUUUUCUGAUAAGAAAUAGUCUUACAGAUGCUCUCAGAAUAGCAGGGCAGCUGAAUUGUGUGCUGGGAAGCAGGAAAGGUGGACAGCAUUAUUUAGACAUACCUGUCUGCAGCAACUGUUUCAGCUCCCUCAUGCGAUUUGCUGACCCUGAUUUCCUGUAGAUUCCUUCUGUGUAGAGGCCAUGCAUCUCCACAUACUCUAGUAGUUUCUCCAUGACAACUGGGACUGAAUUCUUAUCGCUAAUUAAGGAACUCACACACACUCCGAAGUGACGGGAGUCUACACCUUGGUCGUUCUGGAAUUGAUACAGGUCAAGUGUCACAUGGAUUCCUGUUUCCAGGCUACCAACCUCAUUUAAGUUAGGACCUCCUGCUACACCUAAAUGAAAGCUGAAUGUUUUAUGCCAUGCUUGUUACUAACUUUUGGUCACAAGACGCCCACUGGUGAGAAUGGCGUCUGGGCUGUGGCACUGGGUGAGAUUUUCAGUUGUUGGUACAAUCAGGCCAUCACUGCCUAACAGUUGGUCUAACACAUUACACAUGUGUACUCUGAGGGAAGGACUUCUCUUACCUUUUUUCCACAGGGCGAUGUGCAGCAGCUCUGAGUUUUGGACAUGCAUUUCUUGUGGCAAAUCAACUUGCAGGCUACAGAGGAGAGGGACUGUUACUAACAGAUCAAAGCAGAUUCAAAUGCAGAGUUUCCUCUGUUUCCCAUUUGCUGUUAGUCUCUAUAGAAUCUGAAUAAACUGCAUACUGGAGUUUUCCCCAAAAUACAGAUUACCCUCUGCAUCGGAGAUGGAAAAAUAUUCUUAGCUGUAGGACUGCUCCAGUUGGGAUAUGCCAAUAUCACUUCAAGUCAUUAGGAAACCCAAGUGGUCAGGAGGUUUUCCUCCCUCAUUUCACCUCAUCCUGAACUCUUCAGCCACAGAAAAGGGACAUGUAGUUUCUUUGAGUGAUGGUGUUGCUGCUGCUCCAUGAAGUGGCUGGCAAGAAUUGCCAGAACCCUACCUACCACCUGUGCCAGCCAGCUUGCACAUGCACCCCCAUGGCAACUUGUUCAGGUGCCCUCCACCUGCAAGGUCUUUCCUGCCCAGGCCCCACCACUUGCAAAGCGCUCUCAGCCCAGACCCCCACCAACAAGGCUAUGCCUGGGCACAACUGUGCCCACCAAAGUGGUAAGGAUCUUCAAUUUUUAAAAACCAAAUGGCAAGAAUGAGCCAUUUCCACUUACUACUGCAAAGACAGGCCUUCUCCAUAGGCCAGAUGUAGGACGAGCACUGCUCACAUGACUGCCGAAUGCUCACUUGGUAGCUCGUGAACACAUGGCCAUUGUGCUCCUCAAUCUGGGUGGGGGGAAGGGGAGAAGUUAAUAGCUCCCUUUGUUUAUUUUCUUUAGAAACAAUCUGAGCUAUCGCCACCUUAUUUUUUCUCCUCUCUUCCACAAUUCAAACUGAUAGAGGGAAAUCUGACUUCUGGUGUAAGGCUAAGCCAGUGGCUCUCAACCUUUCCAGACGACUGUACCCCCUGCAGGAGUCAUGCAUACCCCACGUUUCGCCUCACUCAACGACUUGUUUACAAAAUCAGACAUAAAAGUACCAAAAAGUGUCCCAGCACACUUUUACGGAACAAUGGCUGACUUUCUCAUUUUUACCAUAUAGUUAUAAAAUAAAUCAAUUGGAAUAUAAAUAUUGUACAUCUAUAUAGGCUACACUGUAAUGUAGCAGUAUAACCAGCUCAUUGUUUGUAUGAAAUUUUAGUCUGUUCUGACUACGUUAGUGCUUUUUAUGUAGCCUGUUGUAAAAUUAGACAAAUAUCUAGAAGAGUUGAUGUACCCCCUAAAAGACCUCUGUGUACCCCUGGUUGAGAACCACUGCUCUCAACCCAAGAUAAUUAGUGUUGGUCUGUUUCAUAAUUAAGGCAUUUAUUAGACACAGUUACUUUAACCCAGUCACCCAUCAGAUGCAGUCUGCUACUAACAUUUAGCAGUCAGCCCUCCCCUUUAAACAAUUUCCUCAUUUAAAAAAAAACAGUCUGUCCUAAAAAGCAUCCCAGGUGAGGUGAGAUGUAUGCAUUUAGGAACACACCAGGCUGCACAAGACAACAGACCAGUGAUUCUUCUAAUCCAGAAGCCAAUGCUAGAAAUUUGAUGCAAGUGGUGAAAACCCACCUAAUUGCCUGGAUUUGGCUCAAUAACAUCCUACCACUGCAAGUUCCACGGUGCAAUUACAUGCUGUUUUACAAUUGUGGCCUUUCAGUUUCACUAAGUGCACCUUGCUUGCUUGAUGGGACAGGAAUAAACAGAACCCUGACAGGCUAGAGGGAUAUAAAACAACUGGUGAUGCUGGGAGAGCUAAUCUCCUAGGACACCUCUGCUUUCCAAAAGAAAAAGCCCUGCUCUUUCAAGAAUCCUUCCAAAUGCUUAAUCAUUCUUGGUGCUCUUCCUUGGACCUUUCAUAUUUCUUCUACGUAAUUUCUGAGAGGAGGGGACCAAAUCUAUAAGGCAAGGAAUUGCCAUUAUUUUUUGGUGUGAUAUUUUUCUCUAUCCUUUAAUAGAACUGCUAUCUUAUUCCCUGUUCUGAUGGCUCGUGUUCACAAUACAGUACAAAUAUUUUCAUGGAGCCAUCCACAAUGCCUUGAUCUUUGCCCUGAGAGAUUACUUGACAUUCAGCCCCCAACAACGGUGAUUGGAGUUUCAAUGGCAUUACUGCACUUGUCCAGGGUGAGUUACAUCUAUUACAUUGGGUUGGUAGCGCUGGUGAUUAUCUUCAGCAAAACCUUUUUUUUAAUUAUAUAUAUAUAUAUAUAAAAAUGUUUUAAGUGACUCUGGAGGUACCCGGCCCACCUCCAGGAACGGUUCUGCACACCUUGCUGCAUUGUGGAAGAUAACAGCUAUAAAGCUCCAUGAAGAAGAGAUGACGUUAGUUUGGUUUGCAAACCAAGAAGCCACAUUAGUAUAAGCAGCUUUUUGCAGUAGGAGGAUCCUGUGGCACCUAGUACUGUGCGACCUCAUGCAUGGCGGGGGACUUUGUGCGUUACCACAAUAAAAAAAAAAUAAUAAUACUACUCACUGCACGCUCUUGUUUUCGUUUCUUCUUCUGGGUUUUGCUUUGCUGCAGUGAGAUACACAAAGGUAUAUUAAUCUGUGAACGCCAAAGAUUUCCUCUCCCUCACAAUGUUACUGCCCCCACUCCAGCUUCAUCUGAGGCUCUACAUUGCAGCCUCCACCUGUUAGCAUAACACAGCUGGAUAAGGCUCCUCUCAGAGUUCAAACCAUCUCCUGAAUCCGCUGGAAGGGGGUCACUGUCUGGUGAUAAAACAUUGGAAUUGCUGAACCCUACCAAGAA